Long non-coding RNA from Rhinolophus ferrumequinum (greater horseshoe bat), 2079 nucleotides. RefSeq lists it as uncharacterized. The record is from RefSeq and is a predicted model, not a curated record. The transcript has 3 exons. NCBI's taxonomy places the organism in Eukaryota, Metazoa, Chordata, Mammalia, Chiroptera, Rhinolophidae.
GUUGAUCUGCCAUUUAUUCAAUCCAUUGAUCUACAGACAAGAAUUAAUUGUGGAACUCAACAACUUCUGUCAAAACUAAGAGGAAACCAGUUUUAUUGUCUGUUGACACGAGGGACAUCUCUCUGGACUUGGUGUGAACACAGGGCUGGAUCUGGUUCACAGGAGAAGCUAUGUCGGUGAGGAGCCAAUUUCACAGAAUCACGGUGGGUGUGACCCAGCUUACUGUUCUCUCUGAACUCUUGUCCCUGUCUUGUCCUUCUGAAGAGAACAUUCAACCUGGUCUGCCUUCUACUCUUUGGAUGCUGAGAGAUGGAGCCUUGCAGCUUACCAAAAUGCAGCUUCACGAUAGGGAAUUGCAUCUAGGUCAAAAGUCACUAUUAUCCUUACAGGUAAUAUCAGUGGAUGUAAUUUCUCUUCUUGGAGUUUGUGUCAAGGCAGCAAGAUGGAAAACAGAAACUGGAUACUGAAUGUCCUUGCCUACUUUCCCUCCUACCUGGAGGAAUGUGUUUUCUAAAAACUACCUAAUAUUGCCAUUACUAACACACUGUAACUUUUGUAUGGAGAAGUCCAUGACCUUUGGAAUUGAUGCAUUUAGGAGGAACCACUAACUAGUUAUGAUAACACAUUUUGAAUUGCUAAUAAAAAAGCCCAUACAAUCGUACUUUUAUUAAGCUGUUAAGUGCUAAUUUCACAGCACACACUGCAUGUCAGAGCUACUUAACCACUAAGUUACAAAGGUGUCUGGUAGCCUUGGGUCACUGCUGAGUAGCAAAGACAAAGACCUCCAUGGGGUUAUCUGGCUAGAUUUUACCACCUUGCUCAGGACUUGCUUGUCCCAGAACCAAGAGAUAUUGACCUUUUAUAAUUGAGGCAAUCUCCUCAAAGGUCAGCCCUGACAGAAACACUAAUUGGUGUGGUCGGAUUUGCUGAAUCCCAGGGCCGCGUCAACUCAGAGGAGUGUUUGCCGUUUCCUUUCACUGCUCUGAGGACAGCAGCUCUACUCAGGCCACCUGGGAUUUUUGUAUUACUAACUAAGGGAAAAAAAUCUGCCAAACACAGCAGCCACCACGCUUUGAGGGGAAAGAUUGCAUCCAUUCCCAUCAGGGUGUCUGUAGUAUUUAGCCCAGUGGCCCAAGUUUCCUAAAUAUUUGUUCUCUCACUGAUUGAAUAAACAAAUGAAUGCAUGUUCUUACAGUAAUAGUUAUGAAAUGCCUGGAGUCUACCUAGAAGGGUGUAUCAAACGUUACCAUUUCCUGAAAUCACUGAUGGCUCCCAGUGACGUGUGCCUGAAGCCAAAUGGGAAGAUAGGGAAACUGAGUCUCAGGAAAAUAAGAGAACUUUCCAAGAACAUAUGGGUAAGUAUGUGCGGAUUUGGAAUUUGAGAUUCCAGUCUGUCAGAAUCUGACAUCUAAAGAACCUGAUGCCACACAGUACGGAGGUAGCCUUCUGAGUGGUUCUACUUGUCCCCAAAUGCCGCUAACUUCAUUCAAAAUUCUCAUCACCCACAAAUAUGGGAAUGAUGCCUCUGUUAGCCUCCAGUUCAGAUGCAGCAUAACAUUUAUCUAAGUGGGUCUACAGCCCUUUAUAGCCAGCUCUUUAUUGAGUGAAAUUGCAGUUAGGAGGAACUAAAAUGGGGCAUGCUCUGGAUUAGAGCUAAGGCUGAGCAUGUAUAACAUGAAAUAAAAGCUUGAAUUUGCAGAAAGCUUCAUGGGUAUACAACACUAUAGAGAUUCCCCCAUUGCUAGGGCAACAGGAGAUCCCAAUCCAGUACAGCUUCCACAGCCUAAUCCUAAAAGUAUCCAAUAGCCUUCAGAGGGAGAGGUCUUGGGUAAUGGGGAACGUUCCUGACUCUACCUGCAGAAUUCCACAAAUGCCCUUGGAUAAGGUCAGAAGCCAAGAUCAACAAAAUGCCAACUAGAGACACUGGACUUAGCCACUCAUCCAGAAAACUGUACAGCUCCAAGGGGAAGUGGGGCCCCCAGGUCAGCUGCAGGUCCUGAAGGCUGCUAAGUGGCCCAGGGACUCAGCAAGGCACUCUCCGGAGAUGUGGGUGCAGGUGUCUCAUUCAGAGGGAGCUCU